Molecule: small nuclear RNA, 128 nt
Filed under: Vombatus ursinus (common wombat)
Lineage: Eukaryota; Metazoa; Chordata; Mammalia; Diprotodontia; Vombatidae
Description: U1 spliceosomal RNA (ENSVURG00010009541.1)
Rfam family: U1 spliceosomal RNA
About the family: U1 is a small nuclear RNA (snRNA) component of the spliceosome (involved in pre-mRNA splicing).
Source: RNAcentral
UCACUUACCUGGUGGGGGUGAUUCAUAAUCAUGAAAGUGGUUGCCCCAGGGUGGGGCUUAUCCAUUGCUCUCCAGAUGGGCAGAUCCCUGUGAUUUUACCACAUGAGAGAGACUCAGAAUAGAAAGUC